AGUUAGGGAUCUUCCGCAAUGGGCGAAAGCCUGACGGAGCGACACUGCGUGAGGGAAGGAGUCCUUCGGGAUGUAAACCUCUGUCAAGAGGGGAAGAAACAGACGGUACCCUCAAAGGAAGCCCCGGCUAACUACGUGCCAGCAGCCGCGGUAAAACGUAGGGGGCGAGCGUUAUCCGGAAUUACUGGGCGUAAAGGGCGUGCAGGCGGUCAGGUGUAUCGAGGGUGAAAUCCCACGGCUCAACUGUGGGAAGACUCUCGAGAUUAUCUGACUAGAGGGUAGAAGAGGGAGAUAGAAUUCCCGGUGUAGCGGUGGAAUGCGUAGAUAUCGGGAAGAAUGCCGGUGGUGAAGACGGUCUCCCAGGCUACUCCUGACGCUGAGGCGCGAAAGCUAGGGGAGCGAACGGGAUUAGAUACCCCGGUAGUCCUAGCCGUAAACGAUGGACACCAGGUGUAGGGGUUCACAGCCCCUGUGCCGGAGCUAACGCACUAAGUGUCCCGCCUGGGGAGUACGGCCGCAAGGCUAAAACUCAAACGGAAUUGACGGGGGCCCGCACAAGCGGUGGAGCAUGUGGUUUAAUUCGAUGCAACGCGAAGGACCUUACCAGGGUUUGACAUGCUGGUGGUAGGAGCCCGAAAGGGUAACGACCCUAGUAGGCGACUAUUAGGGAGCCAGCACAGGUGCUGCAUGGCUGUCGUCAGCUCGUGUCGUGAGAUGUUGGGUUAAGUCCCGCAACGAGCGCAACCCUCAUUCCUAGUUACCAACAGGUAAAGCUGGGGACUCUAGGGAAACUGCCAGGGAUAACCUGGAGGAAGGGGGGGAUGACGUCAAGUCCGCAUGGCCCUUAUGCCCUGGGCGACACACGUGCUACAAUGGGUGGUACAGAGGGAAGCGAACCCGAGAGGGGGAGCAAAUCUCAGAAAGCCAUCCUCAGUUCGGAUUGCAGGCUGAAACCCGCCUGCAUGAAGUCGGAAUCGCUAGUAACCGUGGGUCAGCCAUACCACGGUGAAUACGUUCCCGGGCCUUGUACACACCGCCCGUCAAGCCACCCGAGUCUAGUGCACCCGAAGUCGCUGACCCAACCCGAGAGGGAGGGAGGCGCCGAAGGUGUGCUCGGUGAGGGGGGCU
RNAcentral lists this ribosomal RNA (1128 nucleotides) under uncultured bacterium. Its description in RNAcentral is "bacterial SSU rRNA". It matches the Rfam family "Bacterial small subunit ribosomal RNA", at positions 353 to 1482 of the family's 1533-position model. The record is from RNAcentral.